CAGCAGCCACGGUAAUACGUAGGUGGCAAGCGUUGUCCGGAAUUAUUGGGCGUAAAGGCUCGCAGGCGGUUUCUUAAGUCUGAUGUGAAAGCCCUCGGCUCAACCGGGGAGGGUCAUUGGAAACUGGGAAACUUGAGUGCAGAAGAGGAGAGUGGAAUUCCACGUGUAGCGGUGAAAUGCGUAGAGAUGUGGAGGAACACCAGUGGCGAAGGCGACUCUCUGGUCUGUAACUGACGCUGAGGAGCGAAAGCGUGGGGAGCGAACAGGAUUAGAUACCCCAGUAGUCCCUGUCUCUUAUACA
This 301-nucleotide ribosomal RNA is filed under the name uncultured bacterium. RNAcentral describes it as "partial 16S ribosomal RNA". It matches the Rfam family "Bacterial small subunit ribosomal RNA", at positions 509 to 808 of the family's 1533-position model. The record is from RNAcentral.